RNAcentral lists this ribosomal RNA (490 nucleotides) under uncultured bacterium. RNAcentral's name for it is "partial 16S ribosomal RNA". It matches the Rfam family "Bacterial small subunit ribosomal RNA", at positions 28 to 507 of the family's 1533-position model. The record is from RNAcentral.
GUUGAACGCUGGCGGCAGGCCUAACACAUGCAAGUCGAACGGUAACAGGAAGCAGCUUGCUGCUUUGCUGACGAGUGGCGGACGGGUGAGUAAUGUCUGGGAAACUGCCCGAUGGAGGGGGAUAACUACUGGAAACGGUAGCUAAUACCGCAUAACGUCGCAAGACCAAAGAGGGGGACCUUAGGGCCUCUUGCCAUCGGAUGUGCCCAGAUGGGAUUAGCUAGUAGGUGGGGUAACGGCUCACCUAGGCGACGAUCCCUAGCUGGUCUGAGAGGAUGACCAGCCACACUGGAACUGAGACACGGUCCAGACUCCUACGGGAGGCAGCAGUGGGGAAUAUUGCACAAUGGGCGCAAGCCUGAUGCAGCCAUGCCGCGUGUAUGAAGAAGGCCUUCGGGUUGUAAAGUACUUUCAGCGGGGAGGAAGGGAGUAAAGUUAAUACCUUUGCUCAUUGACGUUACCCGCAGAAGAAGCACCGGCUAACUCCGUG